GAGCUGAGCAUUACUGUGGCAGCCGGCAUCCUGGCUCGCGUGCAGGGUUUACUUGUACUGGCACGGAGAGGCAGUUGUCUAGAGCAAUGAUUCUCAAACUCUGUCUUGUGUCAGAACUGUCUGAAGAGGCUGUUGAAAGGCAGAUUGCUGGGUCUUACUCCCAGACCCUCUGAUUCAGCAGAUUUGGAAUGAAGCCAAGGAUGUGUGCAUUUCACAAGGCCCCAGGUACUCAGGAAUACAUCAUGUGGAGUACAGUCUUCAAAAUGCCUGCCAGGAGGCACUUGUAACAUGGCCUGAGGAUGAUUUCCAGCUUUGUUAUUUAUCUGAGUAUCCACUCUACGGCCUCCAUACCAUUUGUACGGACAGCAGAGAGAACUUCUAACAGGAAAUAUAGUUCCAGACCUGGUCCAGCAAGUGGGGCUGAGACAAAGUGUAUACAUCAUCACACCUUCUGACAAAUACUCUUUUGCUGUCAUUUGCUGUCUAAAAGAAAGGAAGAAAGAAAGAAGGAAAGA
This is a long non-coding RNA of Fukomys damarensis (Damara mole-rat), 515 nucleotides long. RefSeq lists it as uncharacterized. Lineage: Eukaryota; Metazoa; Chordata; Mammalia; Rodentia; Bathyergidae. The record is from RefSeq and is a predicted model, not a curated record. The transcript is spliced from 3 exons.